RNAcentral lists this small nuclear RNA (108 nucleotides) under Canis lupus dingo (dingo). The record is from RNAcentral. Lineage: Eukaryota; Metazoa; Chordata; Mammalia; Carnivora; Canidae.
AUGAUGAAAAGGGGCCCAUAUAUACUAAAAUUGGAAGGAUAGAGAAGAUUAUUAGCAUGGCCCCCACACAAAGAUGACAUGCAAAUUCAUGAAGCAUUCCAUAUUUUU